Molecule: long non-coding RNA, 1766 nt
Filed under: Helianthus annuus (common sunflower)
Lineage: Eukaryota; Viridiplantae; Streptophyta; Magnoliopsida; Asterales; Asteraceae
Description: hypothetical non coding rna
Source: RNAcentral
AAAGUGAAAUUUCAAUUAGUAUGGUAUACUCACAGUCUAUAGUUGUUGAUUUAUGACAUACUCAUAGUGGUCAAAGGCUCAAGCUCAAGCUCAAGGCGCGAAAGGUGAGCCUUGGGCCUAGGGACAACGUACUUGAGAGGCAAAGGCUUUCUAAGCAAGGUACACAAUAUAAAUAGUUCCAGGCCAUUUUUGAAUGUUUAAGACCACGUUUAGCUGUUCAUGCUCAGGCCGGAAUUUGUAGAAUCUUGCCAGAAUCGCGUCUAAGUGUCUUGAUGGCCUCUCCUGGUUCGCCUUUGUCUGAUAUGGUUGUGUAUGGGCGCACGCCUGGUUCGCCUUUGACUGGUAUGGUUGCGUCUACAGGGCGCCUAGACGAGCGCCUUUGACUACUAUGAUAUACAAAUCAGUUUUUUUUCCGGUAAUAUACAUAAUUAGUUUUUUCAUUUACCCAUGAUGGAAAAAUUAUGACGAGCGACAAUAAAAAUACAGACUAAAAACAUUUAACUCGUGGAAAAAGUUUUUGAUCCGCCACUGCUCACAGGGGCGGACCUAGUUUUAUAAUAGGGGUAACCGUAACCCCCACUACCCCUUGACGCUCCGGCGGUAGUGUAAAUUUUGGAAAAAAAAAAUGACGUUUUUUUUAUUUCGUUACCCAUUUUUUUUAAACGUUGCCUCUAUAACGAUUUUCUAGAUCCGCCACUAACUACUCAUCACCUUGGUCCAUGAAUUGGGUGACAAAAUCAAGGUGGGAAAGCUUCCAUCAUAGUACAAAGCCUCAAACUUAAUUGAACCUGUAUGGUUCAAAUAAACUUCAGAUAUCAAAGCAACAAAAGAAGUGCACACCUGGAAUAAAUUUAAGAAUUAUGUAAAAGAUACCAAUCUCAUAUAGCAGGCCAGAGAUGGAAGAACAACCCGGGCCGCCGGUAAUCCAAAGCAUGAGAGGAUCAAGCUCAGGAUCCGACUCGGACCGAAUGAAGUAGUAAAAAAGCUGCACAUCUUCAUUCUCAUCCACACCCACAUACCUACAUAAAAUAUCAUGUAUCCAAUUAAUCAUAUCUACACACUUGCUUAUGUAUCUAACAUAAACGAUAAAUAUAUGAAUAAAAAAGAGUACCCAGUUUCAAGGUAAAAAGGGAGGGGUCCUUGGAAACCUGGAAGAUACUCCACUCUCCCUGCUGAAUUUGCUGAAGUUGAGGUUGAAACAUGAGAACAGAUGAAGAAGGUGAUGAUGAGGAACCAAUUUAUCAUUUUACCAAUCAUUCAGUGACAAACAACUGAAGAAGCGUAAAGUAUUGAGCAACAUAGAGAGGCAGGGCUGUUGUCAAAAGUAGAGGAGCUAGGGUUUGUUAGUCACCCCUAUUGAGAAAUUGGGGCUUCUAUCAAAAUCCGAGGAGUUAGGGCUUCUCAGCUUGCUUAAAAGUGCUGACGGAUACUCUCUUACAACUUUAGUGUAUGUUGCGCUACUAGCUCUGAUGGCAGUGAUACUAGCAGUUGUAUUGAUACCGGAUGAUUUUACUGCUUUGGUAGUGGUGCAGACCGUUGUACUAGGUAUGCUUGCUGCUACUGGAGCUGGAUUGUUUGUUGGUUAGAUUGUCUUAGACGGACUACAUGAAGCUGAUUUAGAGUGUUGUUUUGUAUCAUUUAUCAGUUAAUGUAUUUGACUGUGAAUAAUCAUUGUUUGUUGUAAUCCAAAUUUGUAACCAAUGGAUGCGAUUAUAUUAUAGUGGUUCCCCGUCGUGAUACGACGGGUGAUAAAUCUAGUUAUAUUG